GGUCUUACCUAGCAGCAUUGGA
This 22-nucleotide microRNA is filed under the name Melibe leonina. RNAcentral describes it as "mle-miR-8-5p". Its record names the gene mle-miR-8-5p. The record is from miRBase by way of RNAcentral. Lineage: Eukaryota; Metazoa; Mollusca; Gastropoda; Nudibranchia; Dendronotidae.